CUGAAAGAUGGUGAACUAUGCCUGAGCAGGGCAAAGCUAGAGGAAACUCUAGUGGAGGCUCGUAGCGAUACUGAUGUGCAAAUUGUUUGUUAGACUUGGGUAUAGGGGCAAAAGACUAAUUGAACCAUCUAGUAGCUG
This 138-nucleotide non-coding RNA is filed under the name Selaginella moellendorffii. Its description in RNAcentral is "rRNA LSU_rRNA_eukarya". It matches the Rfam family "Eukaryotic large subunit ribosomal RNA", at positions 816 to 953 of the family's 3401-position model. The record is from Rfam by way of RNAcentral. Lineage: Eukaryota; Viridiplantae; Streptophyta; Lycopodiopsida; Selaginellales; Selaginellaceae.